Molecule: ribosomal RNA, 253 nt
Filed under: uncultured bacterium
Lineage: Bacteria
Description: partial 16S ribosomal RNA
Rfam family: Bacterial small subunit ribosomal RNA
Source: RNAcentral
UACGGAGGGGGCAAGCGUUAUUCGGAAUUAUUGGGCGUAAAGGGCGCGUAGGCGGCUAGAUGUGUCAAAGGUGAAAUCCCUCGGCUCAACUGAGGAACUGCCUUUGAAACUGUCUGGCUUGAGGCCGGGAGAGGGUAGCGGAAUUCCCAGUGUAGCGGUGAAAUGCGCAGAUAUCAGGAAGAACACCCGUGGCGAAGGCGGCUCUCUGGGACGGUACUGACGCUGAGACGCGAAAGCGUGGGGAGCGAACAGG